AAGCUUUUUUUAUGCCCCACCUACGAUAGUAGAGGGGCAUUAUGUUUUCUGGUCUGUGCGUCCGUCCGUCCGUUCGUUCGUCCGUCCGUCUGUCCGUUCGUUCGUCCGUCCGUCUGUCCCGCUUCAGGUUAAAGUUUUUGGUCAAGGUAGUUUUUGAUGAAGUUUAAGUCCAAUCGACUUCAAACUUAGUACACAUGUCCCC
RNAcentral lists this long non-coding RNA (202 nucleotides) under Mytilus galloprovincialis (Mediterranean mussel). The record is from RNAcentral. Lineage: Eukaryota; Metazoa; Mollusca; Bivalvia; Mytilida; Mytilidae.